UGGGGAAUAUUGGACAAUGGGCGAAAGCCUGAUCCAGCCAUGCCGCGUGUGUGAAGAAGGCCUUUUGGUUGUAAAGCACUUUAAGUGGGGAGGAAAAGCUUAUGGUUAAUACCCAUAAGCCCUGACGUUACCCACAGAAUAAGCACCGGCUAACUCUGUGCCAGCAGCCGCGGUAAUACAGAGGGUGCAAGCGUUAAUCGGAAUUACUGGGCGUAAAGCGCGCGUAGGUGGUUAUUUAAGUCAGAUGUGAAAGCCCCGGGCUUAACCUGGGAACUGCAUCUGAUACUGGAUAACUAGAGUAGGUGAGAGGGGAGUAGAAUUCCAGGUGUAGCGGUGAAAUGCGUAGAGAUCUGGAGGAAUACCGAUGGCGAAGGCAGCCCCCUGGCAUCAUACUGACACUGAGGUGCGAAAGCGUGGGUAGCAAACAGGAUUAGAUACCCUGGUAGUCCACGCCGUAAACGAUGUCUACCAGUCGUUGGGUCUUUUAAAGACUUAGUGACGCAGUUAACGCAAUAAGUAGACCGCCUGGGGAGUACGGCCGCAAGGUUA
Molecule: ribosomal RNA, 549 nt
Filed under: uncultured bacterium
Lineage: Bacteria
Description: bacterial SSU rRNA
Rfam family: Bacterial small subunit ribosomal RNA
Source: RNAcentral